CACUUAGAUGUUCUGGGCCGCACGCGUGCUACACUGAGUGGAUCAGCGGGUCAGGUUGCGCGAAAGCGUUUCCUAAUCUUUAAAUCCGCUCGUGAUGGGGAUUGACGGUUGCAAUUUUCUGUCAUGAACGAGGAAUACCUUGUAAGCGCGGGUCAUCAUCCCGCGCUGAAUACGUCCCUGCCCUUUGUACACACCGCCCGUCGCUCCUACCGAUUGAGUGGUCCGGUGAGGCUUUGGGAUCUGAGCGGAAAGAGCGUUUCGCUGUUUCUGCUCGGAAAACUCAGUCGAACCUUAUCAUUUAGAGGAAGGAGAAGUCGUAACA
This 322-nucleotide ribosomal RNA is filed under the name uncultured eukaryote. RNAcentral's name for it is "partial 18S ribosomal RNA". It matches the Rfam family "Eukaryotic small subunit ribosomal RNA", at positions 1470 to 1796 of the family's 1831-position model. The record is from RNAcentral.